RNAcentral lists this transfer RNA (86 nucleotides) under Candidatus Acetothermia bacterium. RNAcentral describes it as "tRNA-Leu". It matches the Rfam family "tRNA". Rfam says of the family: Transfer RNA (tRNA) molecules are approximately 80 nucleotides in length. Their secondary structure includes four short double-helical elements and three loops (D, anti-codon, and T loops). Further hydrogen bonds mediate the characteristic L-shaped molecular structure. tRNAs have two regions of fundamental functional importance: the anti-codon, which is responsible for specific mRNA codon recognition, and the 3' end, to which the tRNAs corresponding amino acid is attached (by aminoacyl-tRNA synthetases). tRNAs cope with the degeneracy of the genetic code in two manners: having more than one tRNA (with a specific anti-codon) for a particular amino acid; and 'wobble' base-pairing, i.e. permitting non-standard base-pairing at the 3rd anti-codon position. The record is from RNAcentral. Lineage: Bacteria; Candidatus Bipolaricaulota. RNAcentral also lists the same sequence under 1 other name.
GCGAAGGUGGCGGAAUUGGCAGACGCGCUAGCCUUAGGAGCUAGUGGGGAAUACCCGUGCGGGUUCGAGUCCCGCCCUUCGCACCA